Molecule: transfer RNA, 73 nt
Organism: Gemmatimonas aurantiaca T-27
Lineage: Bacteria; Pseudomonadati; Gemmatimonadota; Gemmatimonadia; Gemmatimonadales; Gemmatimonadaceae
Rfam family: tRNA
About the family: Transfer RNA (tRNA) molecules are approximately 80 nucleotides in length.
Source: Rfam
GGGGGCGUAGCUCAGUUGGGAGAGCGCUUGAAUGGCAUUCAAGAGGUCAGGGGUUCGAUUCCCCUCGCCUCCA